CAUUCCUACGGGACUCAGCAGUGGGGAAUAUUGGGCAAUGGGCGCAAGCCUGACCCAGCAACGCCGCGUGAAGGAAGAAGGCUUUCGGGUUGUAAACUUCUUUUAUGAGGGACGAAAGAAAUGACGGUACCUCAUGAAUAAGCCACGGCUAACUACGUGCCAGCAGCCGCGGUAAUACGUAGGUGGCAAGCGUUAUCCGGAUUUACUGGGUGUAAAGGGCGUGUAGGCGGGACUGCAAGGCAGAUGUGAAAAUUAUGGGCUCAACCCAUAACCUGCAUUUGAAACUGAAGUUCUUGAGU
This 299-nucleotide ribosomal RNA is filed under the name uncultured bacterium. Its description in RNAcentral is "partial 16S ribosomal RNA". It matches the Rfam family "Bacterial small subunit ribosomal RNA", at positions 334 to 647 of the family's 1533-position model. The record is from RNAcentral.